This 460-nucleotide ribosomal RNA is filed under the name uncultured bacterium. Its description in RNAcentral is "partial 16S ribosomal RNA". It matches the Rfam family "Bacterial small subunit ribosomal RNA", at positions 338 to 795 of the family's 1533-position model. The record is from RNAcentral.
CCUACGGGAGGCAGCAGUGAGGAAUAUUGGUCAAUGGACGAGAGUCUGAACCAGCCAAGUAGCGUGAAGGAUGACUGCCCUAUGGGUUGUAAACUUCUUUUAUCAAGGAAUAAAACGCGGCACGUGUGCCUUUUCGCAUGUACUUUAUGAAUAAGGAUCGGCUAACUCCGUGCCAGCAGCCGCGGUAAUACGGAGGAUCCGAGCGUUAUCCGGAUUUAUUGGGUUUAAAGGGAGCGUAGAUGGGUUGUUAAGUCAGUUGUGAAAGUUUGGGGCUCAACCGUAAAAUAGCAAUUGAUACUGGCAGUCUUGAGUACAGUAGAGGUAAGCGGAAUGCGUGGUGUAGCGGUGAAAUGCUUAGAUAUCACGAAGAACCCCGAUUGCGAAGGCAGCUUACUAGACUGUGACUGACAUUGAUGCACGAAAGUGUGGGUAUCGAACAGGAUUAGAUACCCCUGUAGUC